AGCGGAAGAUGGGAGCUUGCUCCCUGAUGUUACGGCGGACGGGUGAGUAACACGUGGGUAACCUGCCUGUAAGACUGGGAUAACUCCGGGAAACCGGGGCUAAUACCGGAUGGUUGUCUGAACCGCAUGGUUCAGACAUAAAAGGUGGCUUCGGCUACCACUUACAGAUGGACCCGCGGCGCAUUAGCUAGUUGGUGAGGUAACGGCUCACCAAGGCGACGAUGCGUACCCGACCUGAGAGGGUGAUCGGCCACACUGGGACUGAGACACGGCCCAGACUCCUACGGGAGGCAGCAGUAGGGAAUCUUCCGCAAUGGACGAAAGUCUGACGGAGCAACGCCGCGUGAGUGAUGAAGGUUUUCGGAUCGUAAAGCUCUGUUGUUAGGGAAGAACAAGUGCCGUUCAAAUAGGGCGGCACCUUGACGGUACCUAACCAGAAAGCCACGGCUAACUACGUGCCAGCAGCCGCGGUAAUACGUAGGUGGCAAGCGUUGUCCGGAAUUAUUGGGCGUAAAGGGCUCGCAGGCGGUUUCUUAAGUCUGAUGUGAAAGCCCCCGGCUCAACCGGGGAGGGUCAUUGGAAACUGGGGAACUUGAUUGCAGAAAAGGAGAGUGGAAUUCCACGUGUAGCGGUGAAAUGCUUACAGAUGUGGAGGAACACCAUUGGCAAACGCGACUCUCUGGUCUGUAACUGACUCUAAGGAGCGAAAACGUGCGGAGCGAACACGAUUAUAUACGCUG
RNAcentral lists this ribosomal RNA (740 nucleotides) under Bacillus velezensis. RNAcentral's name for it is "bacterial SSU rRNA". It matches the Rfam family "Bacterial small subunit ribosomal RNA", at positions 65 to 789 of the family's 1533-position model. Lineage: Bacteria; Bacillati; Bacillota; Bacilli; Caryophanales; Bacillaceae. The record is from RNAcentral.